RNAcentral lists this ribosomal RNA (1372 nucleotides) under uncultured bacterium. RNAcentral's name for it is "bacterial SSU rRNA". It matches the Rfam family "Bacterial small subunit ribosomal RNA", at positions 28 to 1381 of the family's 1533-position model. The record is from RNAcentral.
GAUGAACGCUGGCGGCGUGCCUAAUACAUGCAAGUCGAGCGAACGGACGAGAAGCUUGCUUCUCUGAUGUUAGCGGCGGACGGGUGAGUAACACGUGGAUAACCUACCUAUAAGACUGGGAUAACUUCGGGAAACCGGAGCUAAUACCGGAUAAUAUUUUGAACCGCAUGGUUCAAAAGUGAAAGACGGUCUUGCUGUCACUUAUAGAUGGAUCCGCGCUGCAUUAGCUAGUUGGUAAGGUAACGGCUUACCAAGGCAACGAUGCAUAGCCGACCUGAGAGGGUGAUCGGCCACACUGGAACUGAGACACGGUCCAGACUCCUACGGGAGGCAGCAGUAGGGAAUCUUCCGCAAUGGGCGAAAGCCUGACGGAGCAACGCCGCGUGAGUGAUGAAGGUCUUCGGAUCGUAAAACUCUGUUAUUAGGGAAGAACAUAUGUGUAAGUAACUGUGCACAUCUUGACGGUACCUAAUCAGAAAGCCACGGCUAACUACGUGCCAGCAGCCGCGGUAAUACGUAGGUGGCAAGCGUUAUCCGGAAUUAUUGGGCGUAAAGCGCGCGUAGGCGGUUUUUUAAGUCUGAUGUGAAAGCCCACGGCUCAACCGUGGAGGGUCAUUGGAAACUGGAAAACUUGAGUGCAGAAGAGGAAAGUGGAAUUCCAUGUGUAGCGGUGAAAUGCGCAGAGAUAUGGAGGAACACCAGUGGCGAAGGCGACUUUCUGGUCUGUAACUGACGCUGAUGUGCGAAAGCGUGGGGAUCAAACAGGAUUAGAUACCCUGGUAGUCCACGCCGUAAACGAUGAGUGCUAAGUGUUAGGGGGUUUCCGCCCCUUAGUGCUGCAGCUAACGCAUUAAGCACUCCGCCUGGGGAGUACGACCGCAAGGUUGAAACUCAAAGGAAUUGACGGGGACCCGCACAAGCGGUGGAGCAUGUGGUUUAAUUCGAAGCAACGCGAAGAACCUUACCAAAUCUUGACAUCCUCUGACAACUCUAGAGAUAGAGCCUUCCCCUUCGGGGGACAAAGUGACAGGUGGUGCAUGGUUGUCGUCAGCUCGUGUCGUGAGAUGUUGGGUUAAGUCCCGCAACGAGCGCAACCCUUAAGCUUAGUUGCCAUCAUUAAGUUGGGCACUCUAAGUUGACUGCCGGUGACAAACCGGAGGAAGGUGGGGAUGACGUCAAAUCAUCAUGCCCCUUAUGAUUUGGGCUACACACGUGCUACAAUGGACAAUACAAAGGGCAGCGAAACCGCGAGGUCAAGCAAAUCCCAUAAAGUUGUUCUCAGUUCGGAUUGUAGUCUGCAACUCGACUACAUGAAGCUGGAAUCGCUAGUAAUCGUAGAUCAGCAUGCUACGGUGAAUACGUUCCCGGGUCU